CAAUUCCCAUCCCCCACGCAGCACGCGCUGCAUCGCGCCGACGCCAUUAACGUUACUGACUGCUUUGCUGUGCUUAACUGACGUCUCUGACUGCUUUGCUGUAAUUUUAGGGAGAACAUCGUUUGCCGUCAGUGUAACCAAGAAAGUAAUCGGACGGUCUUGGAUGUUGAUGCAGUGGAGCAGAAAUUGGCAGACCCCACCUUCCAGAAACAAGUGGUUACUGUGGUGGCAGUACUGUGGAUGAAGCCACGAGAAGAAUGAGGGCCUUCCUUUUGGACCACCCCUUAUCAAGAGAGUUCAAUUGUGUUAGCCGGCAUGGAAAGUGAGAGUUUCAGGGGCUCAGACUGCUUGAGGUUGUAUAAGGAAGCUUAAAAAAAAUCUCUUAACCAAAUUACCAGAAAAGAGGCAGAAAAGUCAGCGUCAAAGUGGCUAGUCACAUAGUAGAGAGCAAGAUAGGGUCAUUGGGAGAGCGAGGACAGAGGUGUGAGGAGCUGCACGGUUGGUUUGUUUGUUUGUGAAAUGUAUUUUAGAGUUUUCAGAUAUGCGUAUACAAACGAUACAAGUUAUUCCAAAUAAUGUUUGGCAGGAGCUUCACUUUAACUUUUUUUUAAGAUGCUUAUGUUUUAUAAAGUUGUAAAUACACAAGAUAUAAUGGUCAUGUUCAAAUUAUUCCAACGAAACCUCGUUUAAAGCAUGCAGAAUACAAGUUAUGAAGAUUUUUUAAUUUUUUUUUUUACAAGAAAUAAAGUUUUUCAGGAGCUUAAAAUUAACUUUUU
This is a long non-coding RNA of Onychostoma macrolepis, 776 nucleotides long. RefSeq lists it as uncharacterized. The record is from RefSeq and is a predicted model, not a curated record. Lineage: Eukaryota; Metazoa; Chordata; Actinopteri; Cypriniformes; Cyprinidae. The transcript has 5 exons.